AUGGGGUUUGUGCCGGUCCCCUUGCACCUGGUACAUUUAAAAUGUGAUUUAGUCAGUGGAGUUUUCAAAGUCGGGGUACGUCAUAACCUGCCGGUAAAAGGCGUUCAGUUUAUCAUGGGCAAUGAUAUUGCUGGAGGCAGAGUGCUGCCUAUGUUAGAGGUAUUGGACUGUCCCGAAGCUAACACUGAGGAUGAGUUAGCCGAGAGAUUCCCUGGGAUUUUUCCAGUGGGUGCUGUCACACGGGCGCAGUCCCGAACAUUGAGUGAUGUGGUUGACCUAUCUGAAUCCUUUCUUGUCCCAGUAGGGGACGUAAAUGAGGUUACUGGUUCUACCCCUGUGCCCCCUCCGCAGCCUGAUAAGAACAGUGCCGUUGAGUGUGCUGGCCUUAGUCUCGACCCAUUGCCUCUACCGGUAACUUGUAAUAAGCUUAUUGCUAUGCAAAAGAUAGGUUCUGCACUGGAGCGGUAUAAUGAGAAGGCUGUCCCACGCUCACUGCAGACAGAGGACCCAGUUCUAGUUCUGCUGCCCAUUCCUGGAUCCUCUCUCUCUGCCCGUUUCUCCGCUCCUUAUUGUGUGGGACGGAAGUUCAGUGACACAGAUUAUGUUAUACAGACCCCAGAUCGGAGGCGCAAGUCAAGAAUUUGCCUCGUCAACAUGCUUAAGUUGUAUCAUGUAAAUACCUUGACAACAGUGUUCCAGCGUUUGGCGAGGGCUUCCUUGGCGCUGCAUUUGGCAAAAUGUGAGUUCGGUAGGGCUACCGUUACUUACCUUGGUAAACGGGUUGGAGGUUGUGAAGUGCGCCCUGUGGAGGCUAAGGUGACUGCUAUCACUGCCUUCCCAGUGCCCACCACCCGGCGUGAGCUGCGCCGCUUCUUGGGUAUGGCUGGUUACUAUCGUGGUGUCUGUAGGAAUCUUACCCCUGUUGUCGCCCCGCUGACUAGUCUGUUGAGCCCCUUUGUCCCGUUUGCGUGGUCUCCAGAUUGCCAACACGCUUUUGCUUCCGUUAAGGCUCUGCUAUGUAGUACCCCUGUUCUGGUGGCUCCUGACUUUGAGAAGCCAUUUAAGAUGGAGGUAGACGCCUGUAAAGUAGGUGCUGGUGCCGUUCAUAUCCAGGAGGAUUCCAUCGGUCUGGACCAUCCGGUCUGCUACUUCUUACGGAAGUUCAAUGAGUGCCAGACACGGUAUUCUACUGUCGACAGGAAGCUCUGGCUUUGCUGUUUGCGCUCCAGUUUUUUUUUUAAGUUUAUUUGGGAUCGAGUUCUAGGCCUAUUGUGA
RNAcentral lists this long non-coding RNA (1275 nucleotides) under Gadus morhua (Atlantic cod). RNAcentral describes it as "lncRNA (ENSGMOG00000026953.1)". The record is from RNAcentral. Lineage: Eukaryota; Metazoa; Chordata; Actinopteri; Gadiformes; Gadidae.